AGAGUUUGAUUAUGGCUCAGGAUGAACGCUGGCGGCGUGCCUAACACAUGCAAGUCGAACGGAUCCAUAUUGAAACCUAGUGAUGUAUGGAUUAGUGGCGGACGGGUGAGUAACGCGUGGAUAACCUGCCGUAUACAGGGGGAUAACACUUAGAAAUAGGUGCUAAUACCGCAUAAGCGCACGGUUCCGCAUGGAACAGUGUGAAAAACUCCGGUGGUAUACGAUGGAUCCGCGUCUGAUUAGCCAGUUGGCGGGGUAACGGCCCACCAAAGCGACGAUCAGUAGCCGGCCUGAGAGGGUGAACGGCCACAUUGGGACUGAGACACGGCCCAAACUCCUACGGGAGGCAGCAGUGGGGAAUAUUGCACAAUGGGGGAAACCCUGAUGCAGCGACGCCGCGUGAGUGAAGAAGUAUUUCGGUACGUAAAGCUCUAUCAGCAGGGAAGAAAAUGACGGUACCUGACUAAGAAGCCCCGGCUAACUACGUGCCAGCAGCCGCGGUAAUACGUAGGGGGCAAGCGUUAUCCGGAUUUACUGGGUGUAAAGGGAGCGUAAACGGCAGCGCAAGUCUGGAGUGAAAUGCCGGGGCCCAACCCCGGAACUGCUUUGGAAACUGUGCAGCUCGAGUG
This 629-nucleotide ribosomal RNA is filed under the name uncultured bacterium. RNAcentral's name for it is "bacterial SSU rRNA". It matches the Rfam family "Bacterial small subunit ribosomal RNA", at positions 8 to 648 of the family's 1533-position model. The record is from RNAcentral.